Molecule: ribosomal RNA, 698 nt
Filed under: uncultured Peptococcaceae bacterium
Lineage: Bacteria; Bacillati; Bacillota; Clostridia; Eubacteriales; Peptococcaceae
Description: bacterial SSU rRNA
Rfam family: Bacterial small subunit ribosomal RNA
Source: RNAcentral
AACGAAAAGAGGGAAAGAGCUUGCUCUUUCCGGAAUUGAGUGGCAAACGGGUGAGUAACACGUAAACAACCUGCCUUCAGGAUGGGGACAACAGACGGAAACGACUGCUAAUACCGAAUAAGCUCCAAGAGCCGCAUGGCCCAUGGAAGAAAAGGUGGCCUCUACCUGUAAGCUAUCGCCUGAAGAGGGGUUUGCGUCUGAUUAGCUGGUUGGAGGGGUAACGGCCCACCAAGGCGACGAUCAGUAGCCGGUCUGAGAGGAUGAACGGCCACACUGGAACUGAGACACGGUCCAGACUCCUACGGGAGGCAGCAGUGGGGAAUCUUCCGCAAUGGGCGAAAGCCUGACGGAGCAACGCCGCGUGAGUGAUGACGGCCUUCGGGUUGUAAAACUCUGUGAUCCGGGACGAAAAGGCAGAGUGCGAAGAACAAACUGCAUUGACGGUACCGGAAAAGCAAGCCACGGCUAACUACGUGCCAGCAGCCGCGGUAAUACGUAGGUGGCAAGCGUUGUCCGGAAUUAUUGGGCGUAAAGCGCGCGCAGGCGGCUUCCCAAGUCCCUCUUAAAAGUGCGGGGCUUAACCCCGUGAUGGGAAGGAAACUGGGAAGCUGGAGUAUCGGAGAGGAAAGUGGAAUUCCUAGUGUAGCGGUGAAUGCGUAGAGAUUAGGAAGAACACCGGUGGCGAAGGCGACUUUCUG